AACAGUACCCACAAAAUGCUACAUGCAAAAUGAGUCCUAUUUACAUUGUUUAGGCCUGAAGUUAUCAGGUUCCAAAAGUUUCAACAACUUCUCUAGCUUGGCCGAACCUUUGGUCGGCCUGAGAAUAAAGGAUCUUCCCAAGAAGGUGCACGGAUCUUUCCCGCCUACUGAGCUACCCAAACACCAUCCACCCGGGGUGAAGCGGCCAGGUGCCCGGCCCAACAACUUGGCGUCAAUCAUAUCCAGGACUGAAUUGUCAUUGGCGAAAGAGUGUGCAAAUGGCGCCCCGUUGUUUGCCAUCGCAUCAAAAUGCUCUGUUGUGAGGUUAACAGGGUGCGUCAGAGGGGGCUUAUCC
Molecule: long non-coding RNA, 355 nt
Filed under: Zea mays
Lineage: Eukaryota; Viridiplantae; Streptophyta; Magnoliopsida; Poales; Poaceae
Description: long non-coding RNA (ZMAY_LNC000738)
Source: RNAcentral